CCUACGGGAGGCAGCAGUGAGGAAUAUUGGUCAAUGGACGAGAGUCUGAACCAGCCAAGUAGCGUGAAGGAUGACUGCCCUAUGGGUUGUAAACUUCUUUUAUAUGGGAAUAAAACGUUCCACGUGUGGGAUUUUGUAUGUACCAUAUGAAUAAGGAUCGGCUAACUCCGGGCCAGCAGCCGCGGUAAUACGGAGGCUCCGAGCGUUAUCCGGAUUUAUUGGGUUUAAAGGGAGCGUAGGUGGAUUGUUAAGUCAGUUGUGAAAGUUUGCGGCUCAACCGUAAAAUUGCAGUUGAAACUGGCAGUCUUGAGUACAGUAGAGGUGGGCGGAAUUCGUGGUGUAGCGGUGAAAUGCUUAGAUAUCACGAAGAACUCCGAUUGCGAAGGCAGUUCACUGGACUGCAACUGACACUGAGGCUCGAAAGUGUGGGUAUCAAACAGGAUUAGAUACCCCAGUAGUC
RNAcentral lists this ribosomal RNA (460 nucleotides) under uncultured bacterium. RNAcentral's name for it is "partial 16S ribosomal RNA". It matches the Rfam family "Bacterial small subunit ribosomal RNA", at positions 338 to 795 of the family's 1533-position model. The record is from RNAcentral.